CAAUAGCGUAUAUUAAAGUUGUUGCAGUUAAAAAGCUCGUAGUUGGAUUUCUGGUUGAAGCGACCGGUCGGGCAUUGAUUUGUCUGCACUGGAGUCGGUUCUGGCCAUCCUCUUGGAAAGUGCGUCUGUCAUUAAGUUGUCGGGCGUAUGAUCCAGGUCUUUUACUGUGAAAAAAUUAGAGUGUUUAAAGCAGGCCUUCGCCUUGAAUACAUUAGCAUGGAAUAAUAAGAUAGGACUUUGGUCUAUUUUGUUGGUUUGCAGACCGAAGUAAUGAUUAAUAGGGAUAGUUGGGGGUAUUUAUAUUCCAAUGUCAGAGGUGAAAUUCUUAGAUUUUUGGAAGAUAAACUUAUGCGAAAGCAUUUACCAAGGAUGUUUUCAUUAA
This 382-nucleotide ribosomal RNA is filed under the name uncultured eukaryote. RNAcentral describes it as "partial 18S ribosomal RNA". It matches the Rfam family "Eukaryotic small subunit ribosomal RNA", at positions 592 to 976 of the family's 1831-position model. The record is from RNAcentral.